This 4378-nucleotide long non-coding RNA is filed under the name Homo sapiens (human). Its description in RNAcentral is "HSALNT0131724". Lineage: Eukaryota; Metazoa; Chordata; Mammalia; Primates; Hominidae. The record is from RNAcentral.
AUCACGCGAGCGUUGUGUCUCGGCUGGCGGGAGCCGGGGACGGGAAAGGAGAGUGCUCGGUGCGUGGGCUGGGCGUGCCUGCGUCCCCUCGAGCCCCACGGGGCACCCUCCCCACUUGCCUGUGGCCUCGGAGCCCGCGGGCGGUUUUGGCUCGGCGUCGCGCCCCGAGGCGGCUUCCGGGUGCGUGGCUGCGCUCGCCGAGGCCCGGGAAGUUGCCGUCGUCAAACCCAAAGGCUGACCGCCUCUGGGAGCUGCUGGCAAACGUGGGGGUGCGCGGCCGCUGAGCGCAGCCGGGGUGGCGGUGGGAUGAGAGGGCGGCGUCCCUGUUUGCGGUCAUUUUGCGGCCAGGAGGACGGGUGAGAGGGCGCCGCCCGCCGGAGGUCGGACGGGCGCCGCUGGCGGGAGUCCUCCGGUAUUUUUCGGUGUGAGGUUGCCUAGCCAGUGUGCAAGGUUGUGGCUUUUGCGGAGUCUCUCGGGACGGUCUUGUUAUCGGGCAUUCCGGCGUGAGAACGCUGCCUCUGGGGCCCUUCCCACCCUGCUUGUCAGGGUUUUAAACACAAACGACUCCGUUGUGACCUUGACAACUCUCACACAGUUCAGUUGGCUUUUAAGAUGCCUUUAAUCCCAAAAGUCCUCCCUGAGGGGUCUGGUAGUGCCGGGCAAAGACCACCGCAAGCGCCCAAGGGACGCUGUUGACACUCGGGAACUCCACCCCGGGCACCACGCAGCUUCGCCGAAGGUGUUAAUAUUGUGGCCAACUAUGAAUAGCUGUUUCAAACGACUAAUUUUGGGCCUUUCCUGUGAUUCCUGAGGUCACUUUUCAGUUAACUCAAAAACACAACUAUUGAUCACUUUACUUUCCAGUGAAUUCAAUCGAGUUAAUUAUAUUUGUUCUGUAGUUUCUUUCAAGGAAACUCCAAGCCAAACAGUAGCAAAGAACAUCCUACUUGACUGUUUUUGAGCAUAUUCAGUGAAUUCCAAGGAAAUUUUUACUGAAUUUGUAACAGAGUAGGGCACUGGCAGGUACUGAAUGAAUAAACAAAUGCCCAGAAGAAGCAGGGUCACCUUUACAUAGGAAUCUGUCUCCCCUCGUUCCUGCGUCUUCAUAAUUUUGUGUGCAUAUGUAUGUGGAGAUUAUAUCACAUAUGUAAAACAUUGCAGAGUCUAAACUCUCAACUCCAGGCAAGGGCAGUAAACCCCAAGCAAGGAAUGGAAGUGGUUUCCCUUUUCUUACUCUUCACAGUCCCUGGUUUGCUGCAGCAACAAAUUAUAUUAUGUAGAUUGUAAAUAUGCAACCGGUUAAUGCUCCUAACACCACCUUUCAUUCAAAACUAAGCCUCAACACAAAAGCAAGUAAUUGCUUUGUUGACACAGAAAGGAGCCUGAGCCUUUCUUUUGCAGCUUUCCUCUACUGGAAAAUUGUAGGAUCACAUCCUACAAAGACUUGCAUAAACAUAAGCCACGUAAAAAAUUCUGUAAUCCCAGCACUUUGGGAGGCCGAGGAGGGCAGAUCACGAGGUCAGGAGAUCAAGACCAUCCUGGCCAACAUGGUGAAACCCCGUCUCUACUAAAAAUAACAAAAAAUUAGCCGCGCAUGGCGGCGCGCACCUGGAGUCCCAGCUACUCGGGAGGCUGAGGCAGGAGAAUUACUUGAACCCGGGAGGCGGAGGUUGCAGUGAGUCGAGAUCGCACCACUGCACUCCAGCCUGGGCGACAGAGCAAGACUACGUCUCAAGAAAAAAAAAAAAAUCCUGUGCCAUGUGCCAUCCAGUGGUUGACCCAAGGAUGUAAACUAGAUUGAAGAGAAGUUUCCAUGUUGCAUACCAGUCAGCCCAAGUGUCCUCAGCUUCCCUCUGUGUGAGCCCCGGGUUUCCAGCCCCUCCCUGUGGUUAAUUGCCUGCAGAAAGCAGAUCCUAAGGCUCUGCCACAGCUCAGUCUUACAGGUGUCUGGUCUGACUGCAGGUCCAGCUCGGCUCUUAGAUUUUUGCUAAUAUUAUACCCCUCAAUCUCCUGUGACCUUUCAUGACCCCUCCAUCCUUUCCUUCUUGUAGACAAGGAGAAGUGCUGCUUUCUCUGGAGUGUCAUUCCGAGUGCUCCGGUGCACAGCUGCGAAGUUCCAGCCUUCCUGGUUUCAGAGGAAAGUGCUAUCUUGUGCUUAGGUUCAACUCUUCCUGCUUUUGGGUCCUCCCCCACACCUCUAAAUACGUCUCGUUAUGGAGGGUGGGAGCACGUGCUCUGCAUCUCUUCAAUUUGGAGGUUAUACCAGCAAAUUAAAUAUACUGGGGACAGUGAAAGCCAGGUUUCUUGCUGUUGGAGAAGGUAAAAACAUGGAAGAGGGAAGGCUAAAAAGAACACUGAGGGAUUGGAUUGGAACUGGAAGUGGUAGUAUGAACUCAUUUUUUUAAAAUAUGUAUAUACAGAUAGAUAUAAAGAUAGCUGUAUGUGUGUGCACACAUGUGUAGGUAUAUGUGCAUAUAAACACAGAAAUAGUUUCUAGUUCUGUCUGCUGAGUAUCUAGAUGCAAUGGUACCCCAGUACCAGUGAUCACAGCUAGCCCCCAGAUCUUAUCUUCUAAAUAAGGUUUUCCAACAAAAGGAAUCAGGGCUCUUUGGAGAAAUGGUUAAUUUCAGGGCUGGAGUGGAAGUACAAGAUGAUCCUGGAAUAAUUUUGUUGUUCAAGGAAGUGAAGAAGUGCUCAAAGAUUGACAGGAGAUCAAAGGACAUGGAAAGUAGUUGGAGGGAGUUCUUGCUGGCGAAAUCUAGGACAAUUUGAGCAACAAAACAAAGAAUGAUAUUGGCAGAUUACCACUGAGUGAGCAAAAUAGAAACGCAUGAGUUGAGUCCACACUGAUGUAGAUCAACAAACCAGUGAUGAAUGCAGGGAAAAUAAUAGUGGAGAAGGGGAGGUUCUUCUUUACAGUAGAAUGUGAACUCAUAAAUGGAGAAGGAAUUAUGAGAAUGGAAAUAACCAUUUACCAAUCACUGUAGUGGGGUUGUUGCAGGAGUGAGAAUGGAAAUAACCAUUUACCAAUCACUGUAGUGGGGUUGUUGCAGGAGUGAGCUAUCAAUGGAGGCUCAGGGUGGUAGGUGGAGAUUUGAUGAGGAAUGAGAAUGGACAUCUUUCUUCAGCAUACUUUUCCAUUACAAAGAGGAAAAUUGAGACUUUCUGGUGGGAAACACCAGCAGACACCAGCGUGGCCAGGUAAUGAGACACCUGUCACCAGUGGAGAAAAGUUGAAACUGAGUCCCCGUGCACUGUGCUGAGAAGAGCACAGCAGCACGCCUGACACUUUUCUGCCAGAAACCACAGCCUCAGUCUAGCCUAGGGAAUAUCAGAUAGACCCAGAAGGAAGGCCAUUCUGUUUUCUUUAUUACUGUCAUGAGCCAGGAACAGUGGCUCACGCUUUGGGAGACUGAGGCAGAAGGAUCACUUGAGGCUGGGAGUUCGAGACCAGCCUGGGCAAUGUAGUAAGACUCCAUCUUUACAAAAAAAAAUCUUAAAAAUUGCCCUGGCAUGGUGGCACGAGCCUGUAGUCCCAGCUACUAAGGCUGAGGCAAGAGUAUUGCUUGAGCCCAGGAAUUCAAGGCUGCAGUGAGCUAUGAUUGCACCACUGCACUCUAGCCUGAGUGACAGAGGGAAACCCCUUCUCAAAUAAAUAAAUUGUCAUAAGAGACAGGAUAAGACUAAGAAUUGUUCCAGAUUAUAUGAGACUGAAGAGACAUAACAACUCCAUGCAAUGCAUGUUCCUGGGAGGUCCCAGACAUGGGAAAAGAAGUGUGGGCACAGUUGGUGAAGCUUGGGUGGGGUCUAUGGGUUGGACAAUGUAUUGAUAUUGAUUUCUCCACUGGGAAGGUUGUGUAGUGGAGGUGAUCCUUGUUUUUAGAGUAUUUGGGGGUGCCGUGGUUUGAAUGUGUCCCUUCCAAAAUUCAGAUGUUGAAACUGAAUGGCCAAGGCCAGGUGUGGUAGCUCACCAGUAAUCCCAGCACUUUGGGAGGCUGAGGCAGGAGGAUCGCUUGAGCCCAGGAAUUCAAGACCAGCCUGGGCAACAAUGGGACCCCCAUCUAUACAAAAAAUUUAAAAAUUAUCUUUGCAUGGUGGCAUGUGCCUGUAGUCCCAGCUAUUCAGGAGGCUGAGGUGGGAGGAUCAUUUAAGCCCAGGAGAUCAAGGCCGCAGCGAGCUCUGGUCACGUCACUGCACUCCAGCCUGAGCCACAGAGCGAGAACCUAUCUCAGAAAAAAAAAAGAAACUUAGUGGUCAGUGUGAUGGUAUAAGGAGGUGAGACCAUGAGGUGACUAGGCCAUGAGGCUCCUCCCUGUGGAUGGAGGUAGUGACCUUGCAGACGAGGCUUCUGGCCAGGUGAGCACUCAACACUCCUCCC